AUUGAACGCUGGCGGCAGGCCUAACACAUGCAAGUCGAACGAGCGGCGGACGGGUGAGUAAUGUAUGGGGAACUGCCUGAUGGAGGGGGAUAACUACUGGAAACGGUAGCUAAUACCGCAUACUAUCAGAUGAGCCCAUAUGGGAUUAGCUAGUUGGUGGGGUAAAGGCUAACCAAGGCGACGAUCCCUAGCUGGUCUGAGAUGAUGACCAGCCACACGGGAACUGAGACACGGUCCAGACUCCUACGGGAGGCAGCAGUGGGGAAUAUUGCACAAUGGGCGCAAGCCUGAUGCAGCCAUGCCGCGUGUAUGAAGAAGGCCUUCGGGUUGUAAAGUACUUUCAGCGGGGAGGCGUUACCCGCAGAAGAAGCACCGGCUAACUCCGUGCCAGCAGCCGCGGUAAUUC
RNAcentral lists this ribosomal RNA (406 nucleotides) under uncultured bacterium. Its description in RNAcentral is "partial 16S ribosomal RNA". It matches the Rfam family "Bacterial small subunit ribosomal RNA", at positions 30 to 526 of the family's 1533-position model. The record is from RNAcentral.